Molecule: long non-coding RNA, 1987 nt
Organism: Mobula hypostoma (lesser devil ray)
Lineage: Eukaryota; Metazoa; Chordata; Chondrichthyes; Myliobatiformes; Myliobatidae
Exons: 4
Source: RefSeq, a predicted model, not a curated record
CAGAGGUAGAGAAACACAUCGAUACCGCGUCUCGACCCCGCAGGAGAGUGCCUUUGAACCUCCAUUGAAAAAAAAGGGUCCUGUUAAAUGGGAGCCACAAUCCCGAACCGCUGUGGAUCAUUGCAAAACAAGAGGACCUGACAAAAGGCUGCUCAGUAUGCACGAAUAUGUCGCGAGAAUGAGUGAAAUGCAGCAGGAUUAUGCUGUGGGAACUUAACUUUUGGGCGUAUUCCGAUUAAAUGAUCAAGGGAAUGUUAACAGUUCAGAAUGAAAUGUGGAGAAUGGAAGAAUACUGCACGACAUUCCGUAAACGCUCUGCUGCUUUGGGCAGGGAUAUGGUAUGGAAUAGGCCCUUUGGCCCUUUGAGCCACGCCGUACCAGGAACUCCUGACAAACCUGAUUAUCCCUAAUCUAAGCACGGGACAAUUUCCAUUGACCAAUUAACCUACCUGGUAUGUCUUUGGACUGUGGAAGAAAACCAGAAGACCUGGAGAAAACUGAGGGAGGGCAUAUAGAGACUCCUUAGAGAAUGGCACUGGAUCUGAACUCCAAAAUUCAGAACAUCCUGAGCUGUAAUGGCGUGGUGUCUAUCAUCCAGAUCAUUGAUAUAGAUGACAAACAACAAUGGACACAACGUCGAUUCCUGCGGCACUCCGCUAGUCACAGAACUCCAGUCAGAGAAGCAACCAUCUCCUACCACUCUCUGGCUUCUCCCGGGAAGCCAAUGUCAAAUCCAGCUGCUACCAUCCGAGAAACGGAACUGCAGCAUAAAAGCCAGGACCAACAGGCUCCAGGACCAUUUCUUCCACCAGGCUAUCAGACUGAUGAACUCAUGCUGAUUUGAGUGUACUCUAUAUUACAUUGACUGUUCUAUUUAUUAUAAAUUACUAUGAUUAUACACAUUGCACAUUUAGAUGGAGACAUAAUGUAGAUUUUUGCUUCUCAUGUAUGUGAAGGAUGUAAGAAAUAAAGUCAAUUCAAUUCAAUUCAACAUAAUUACUGUAAUCAUAAUUUUGUGUAGAAGUUUAUAAUACUAAUAUUAAUGGAAGAGCACAACAAUUUCCUAAUAUCUAUUGUUAUGUUUGUACUAUUUUUUAUCAUGCAUAUUGCAACUAAUUACUUAAGAUACAAAGGCAUAUAGUUUACUGCAUUAACAAAAAUGGCAUUCACUUUUUUGAUAGAUACUAUGAUUGUAAAAUUAUACAAAAGAUAUCAACAUACACAAUACAUAGUAAAAUAUUUCAAGACAAAAGGGAAAUAAUGCUGUUUGAUAAUGUGAUAUCUCAAAAUUAAGUGCUACCUUCCAACAAGGAUAGAAAUAAUUGUCAUGUACAGUUUAAUAGCUGAUUGAUGGGUAUAGUUAAGUUAUUGAAUUAAGUGGACAUUAUUAUAAGCUACAAUUAUACUUGAGCUAUUUCCACCUCAUCAUAUUCCUGGAAGAUAAAUGAAAGCCAGACAUACAUAUUUGCAAUUCUGAGAGGCUCAGUCAUUAAAGCUUUGAAGGUCAAAAUUGUAUAACACGAAUGGGAACUAUAAUGUCAAAAAUGUUAAACUUUAAACAAAUAAAAAGUAAGUUUAAAUAGUAUAUAUCUGAACUCUUGCCAAAAUUAUCUACAGUCCAUACAAAAUCUGUUAGCAUCAAACACGCAAUUUAUGUAAACUGUAACUGACAGUUUGAUACUAACUCCGAUGAUGUUUCCUGAUACAGAACAAAAGUUCUUUCCAAUUGGUGAUGUUAAUAAGUACUUUAGUGAAGUCAUAUAGUAUUCAACAUAAAGCUAUUUUAUAUAACUAUGUAUAUAUACACAAUGUACUUAAAUGGGAUCGUGGUAACAAAAAUGAUUAAAUACUAUUGAUCUUUUCUUUAUUUUGUAGACACUCCCACUCUUUGUUAUUUUAAAGUUAAUAUAUAAUAAAUUGAUGAAUAUUGGCAGUGAAUUGUAGAGUUGUCAUUCUAAUCUCAUAUAUGGUGGUCAUACACAGGAGU